AAACCCCUGCCGUGUUCGUGAUUGGUAUUUGUUCUUUGAUCCAACAAAGAUAAUAUCAGGAGCCUUCCUCGGUUUUGGUGUGCAUGUUCUGCUUGUACAGAAAAGCCUAAAGAAACCAUAAGGCGCCAACUUUGAACUUUCGGUUCAGAGACUUACCAACACGGCACUGUGCGGGGGUUCA
Molecule: non-coding RNA, 181 nt
Filed under: Desulfobacterales bacterium
Lineage: Bacteria; Pseudomonadati; Thermodesulfobacteriota; Desulfobacteria; Desulfobacterales
Description: 6S RNA
Rfam family: 6S / SsrS RNA
About the family: E. coli 6S RNA was the first non coding RNA to be sequenced, but its function was unknown until recently. It consists of 184 nucleotides that fold into an extended hairpin structure with a large single-stranded internal bulge.
Source: RNAcentral